CUGCAGAUACGGUGACAUGGUUCCCAACACCAUCGCAGGAAAGAUCUUUGGUUCUAUCUGCUCACUGAGCGGCGUGCUGGUGAUCGCCCUCCCUGUGCCCGUCAUCGUGUCCAAC
Molecule: non-coding RNA, 115 nt
Organism: Xyrichtys novacula (pearly razorfish)
Lineage: Eukaryota; Metazoa; Chordata; Actinopteri; Labriformes; Labridae
Source: the annotation of a GenBank genome assembly